CUCAAUGAUAUUAAAUAGCCGCAAAUAUUCCGCGCUAAGGUAGCAUAAUCAUUCGUCUUUUAAUUAAAGACUAGAACGAAAGAUUUAAUAUUUCUACUUCUUUCUUAAAUUUAAAUAUUUAAAUUAUCUUAAAUAUAAAAAGAUAUUUAUAUGAUAAAAAGACGACAAGACCCUAUUGAACUUAACUUAAGUUAAACUGGGGCAGUUAAUUAAAUAUUAUUUUAAUAAAAAUUCAAAAUCAACCUAACACAAUUAAAUUAAUCAAGUUACCAUAGGGAUAACAGCGUAAUAUUUUUCUAAAGCUCUUAUUCAAAAAACAGUUUACGACCUCGAUGUUGAAUUAAUAUUCUACUAAAUGCAAUAAUUAAUAAGAAAGUC
This 378-nucleotide ribosomal RNA is filed under the name Coelotinae sp. ZZ392. RNAcentral describes it as "partial 16S ribosomal RNA". Lineage: Eukaryota; Metazoa; Arthropoda; Arachnida; Araneae; Agelenidae. The record is from RNAcentral.